UCAGGUUCAAGAGGGAAGAGGGAAGGUGGCAGAUUUGGUGAGGCCAAGACAAACCCUCAUUGCAGAAACGGGGUAGGGGGCGCUAGAGGCAGGAAGACCUCAAUCGGCAGCAUCUGACGCUACAACUGAGGGACCACAACCAAUUCCCCCACUAUCCCGGGAGUUGGGUGGCUCCUUGCCCCCAUUUUAUAUGGGGGGGGGGGGAACUGAGGCUUUAAGCGGGCUGAGCCAGCUUGUAGCCAGCACGCGGCAGCGCGGGGAUUCGGUCCUGGCUCCCCUGCACCGCCCUGGCCUCGUGCUCGGCGGUGGCGCUUGCCCAGGGGAGCGGGGGGGGGGGGGGGGGGGGGGGGGGGGGGACCGACCUUCCAGAAUUCCCAGCAAACCCUGGCAGGAGCUGCAGCAGGAAAACAAAGGGACGGCUCGCUUGCUGGCUGCAGAGGAGCGACUCGCCACCAGGGGGCAGCGCGCGCUGGCAGCCGCCCGGGGACCGCCUUUGUCCGGGCAGAAUUCUUUCGGAGCCGGCGUUGGAGCAGAGGCCGGCAGGCCGUUGCCCUUGGUGACGGCAGAGACAGUGUCAUUGGCCGGAGGGUGUUGAGACAGGGGCCGUUCCCGAAAGAGCCCCGGACCUGGAGCCUGCCCCCUUCCUCCAGCAACUCCAUUGCUUUCCACCUGCCGCCUUGUCUUCUCACCUGGACCUUUCCCUGUGACCUCUGGAGCUCUGGACACCAUGGGCCCUUGCCCCCUCUUUAGGAUUUCAGAAAGCUUCCUGGAACAUCCAAGACAGGCAGCUAUGCAAUGAAUCCAGUUUGGACACGGGUUUUAUUUGGCCUGCAUCUUUAAAAAAAUGUGCACCUGUACUGUGAAAAGAGGAGGUUGCGUGCAGAGAGCAGAGCUGCGGGCCGGGCCCUGAGCCAAGUGCUGGGAGUGCAGGGGGAGGAGGGCAGAGGCAGAGGCAGACCGAUGGCAGGCACCAAUGGCAGACCAAUGGCAAGCAUUGCACAACGAUGACAUUAUUGGAUGGUGAUAAGAGCCGUGGAGGAGCAUCAGCGAGACAGGGAGGUGGUGACCUUUUACUGGGUGCUCAGGGAGACUUCAGGGUUGGGGUGGAGGCCACCGGGGGAGGAGGGGGAAGCAUUCACCAGAGAAAGGACCUGGUCCUGGGAGACCAACGAGUGCUCAGCAUUUGCAGACCUGGAGCUCAGCACACAGGCCAGGUGGGCCACGGGAAGACUGAGACAGGUGGGGUCAGAGGACAGUCGUCUUGAAGGUCGUGGACUUUGUCAUCAAAGGGGCCAGGGGGCCAGAAGGUGGGGAAGAGUGUGUGGGUGUCGGUAAGACAUCACUGUUACUGAUUGGUUGCUACUGUUGUAACUGCUACCCUGACCAAGAAUGACGCCUGGGAGGUGGUCCAAAAGCAGCUUUAUUUUUGUCUCCUGCAUUAGCGGGGCAGUCCCUGUGCCUCUCUGGGCUGUUAGAGACAGACCUAAGCCACGUAAGUCCCCGGCUGCGAGCUCAGUUCUGGAACUAACGAUGGCUGCCCACCCAUGCCGCUCACCAGCAGCUGUUUUCAUAUCCUAGCAGGGGUGGAAGCAGGG
Molecule: long non-coding RNA, 1595 nt
Filed under: Felis catus (domestic cat)
Lineage: Eukaryota; Metazoa; Chordata; Mammalia; Carnivora; Felidae
Description: lncRNA (ENSFCAG00000048411.1)
Source: RNAcentral